This 484-nucleotide ribosomal RNA is filed under the name uncultured bacterium. RNAcentral's name for it is "partial 16S ribosomal RNA". It matches the Rfam family "Bacterial small subunit ribosomal RNA", at positions 30 to 507 of the family's 1533-position model. The record is from RNAcentral.
AUUGAACGCUGGCGGCAGGCCUAACACAUGCAAGUCGAGCGGAUGAAGGGAGCUUGCUCCUGGAUUCAGCGGCGGACGGGUGAGUAAUGCCUAGGGAUCUGCCUGGUAGUGGGGGAUAACGUCCGGAAACGGGCGCUAAUACCGCAUACGUCCUGAGGGAGAAAGUGGGGGAUCUUCGGACCUCACGCUAUCAGAUGAGCCUAGGUCGGAUUAGCUAGUUGGUGGGGUAAAGGCCUACCAAGGCGACGAUCCGUAACUGGUCUGAGAGGAUGAUCAGUCACACUGGAACUGAGACACGGUCCAGACUCCUACGGGAGGCAGCAGUGGGGAAUAUUGGACAGUGGGCGAAAGCCUGAUCCAGCCAUGCCGCGUGUGUGAAGAAGGUCUUCGGAUUGUAAAGCACUUUAAGUUGGGAGGAAGGGCAGUAAGUUAAUACCUUGCUGUUUUGACGUUACCAACAGAAUAAGCACCGGCUAACUUCGUG